This 75-nucleotide transfer RNA is filed under the name Azospirillum lipoferum. RNAcentral's name for it is "tRNA-Val". It matches the Rfam family "tRNA". Rfam says of the family: Transfer RNA (tRNA) molecules are approximately 80 nucleotides in length. Their secondary structure includes four short double-helical elements and three loops (D, anti-codon, and T loops). RNAcentral also lists the same sequence under 235 other names. The record is from RNAcentral. Lineage: Bacteria; Pseudomonadati; Pseudomonadota; Alphaproteobacteria; Rhodospirillales; Azospirillaceae.
GGGCGCGUAGCUCAGCGGGAGAGCAUUCGCUUCACACGCGAAGGGUCACAGGUUCAAUCCCUGUCGCGCCCACCA